GACGAACGCUGGCGGCGUGCCUAAUACAUGCAAGUCGAGCGAACAGACCAUGAUCUUGUUCGUCUCACGUUAGCGGCACACGGGUGAGUAACAUGUGUAUAACCUACCUAUCUCAUGGGGAUACCUUCGGGACACCGGAGCGAACAGCGGAUAAUAUAUUGAACCGCGUGGUUCAAUAGUGAAAUACGGUUUUUCUGUCACUUAUAGAUGGUUCCGCGCCGUAUUAGCUAGUUGGUAAGGUAACCGCUUACCAAGGCAACGACGCGUAGGCGAGCUCCGAGGGGGGUCGGCGACACUAGAAGUGGAACACGCACCAGACUCCUACGAGACGGAGCAGUAGGGAAUGGUCCGCAAUGGGCGGAAGCAUGACGGAGCAAGCCGGCGUCGGUGAUGAAAAUCCUCGGAUCGUAAAGAUGGCUUACUAGUGAAGAACAAAUGUGUACGUAGAUAUGCACGUAUUGACGGUACCGGAUAAGAAAGCCCCGGCUAACUACGUG
This 497-nucleotide ribosomal RNA is filed under the name uncultured bacterium. Its description in RNAcentral is "partial 16S ribosomal RNA". It matches the Rfam family "Bacterial small subunit ribosomal RNA", at positions 28 to 507 of the family's 1533-position model. The record is from RNAcentral.